CGGACGGGUGAGUAACGCGUGGGUAACUUGCCUUGUACAGGGGGAUAACAGUUGGAGACGGCUGCUAAUACCGCAUAAGCGCACGGCAUCGCAUGAUGCAGUGUGAAAAACUCCGGUGGUAUAAGAUGGACCCGCGUUGGAUUAGCUAGUUGGUGAGGUAACGGCCCACCAAGGCGACGAUCCAUAGCCGACCUGAGAGGGUGACCGGCCACAUUGGGACUGAGACACGGCCCAA
Molecule: ribosomal RNA, 235 nt
Filed under: uncultured bacterium
Lineage: Bacteria
Description: partial 16S ribosomal RNA
Rfam family: Bacterial small subunit ribosomal RNA
Source: RNAcentral